GACGAACGCUGGCGGCGUGCUUAACACAUGCAAGUCGAGCGGUAAGGCCCUUUCGGGGGUACACGAGCGGCGAACGGGUGAGUAACACGUGGGUGACCUGCCCUCCACUCUGGGAUAAGCCCGGGAAACUGGGUCUAAUACCGGAUAGGACCAUUGGAUGCAUGUCUGGUGGUGGAAAGUUUUUUCGGUGGGGGAUGGGCCCGCGGCCUAUCAGCUUGUUGGUGGGGUGAUGGCCUACCAAGGCGGUGACGGGUAGCCGGCCUGAGAGGGCGACCGGCCACACUGGGACUGAGACACGGCCCAGACUCCUACGGGGGGCAGCAGUGAGGAAUAUUGGGCAAUGGGCGAAGGCCUGACCCAGCAACGCCGCGUGGAGGAAGAAGGCCUUCGGGUCGUAAACUCCUUUUACGGGGGAAGAGGAAGGACGGUACCCCGAGAAUAAGUCACGGCUAACUACGUGCCAGCAGCCGCGGUAA
Molecule: ribosomal RNA, 476 nt
Filed under: uncultured bacterium
Lineage: Bacteria
Description: partial 16S ribosomal RNA
Rfam family: Bacterial small subunit ribosomal RNA
Source: RNAcentral